ACCACUUUUGCAUCCUUCGGUCUCUGGCGUGCCUGCCAUGACGUAAUAGCUCUGCGGAGGUGGAAGUUGGGGAGCUUUGAGGCCUCCUCUGUAAAAUGGAAACUCUGUACCCCUGCUUGUCUUAGGACCUCAUGGAUCCCAGGGGGACCAAGAGAGGAGCUGAGAAGACAGAGGUAGCUGAGCCUCGGAACAAACUACCUCGUCCAGCACCUUCUCUGCCCACAGACCCUGCCCUCUACUCUGGGCCCUUUCCUUUCUACCGGCGCCCUUCGGAACUGGGCUGCUUCUCCCUGGAUGCUCAACGCCAGUACCAUGGAGAUGCCCGAGCCCUGCGCUACUAUAGCCCACCCCCCACUAACGGUCCAGGCCCCAACUUCGACCUCAGAGACGGAUACCCGGAUCGAUACCAGCCCCGGGACGAGGAGGUCCAAGAAAGGCUGGACCACCUGCUGUGCUGGCUCCUGGAACACCGAGGCCGGUUGGAGGGGGGUCCAGGCUGGCUGGCAGAGGCCAUAGUGACGUGGCGGGGGCACCUGACAAAACUGCUGACGACACCGUAUGAGCGGCAGGAGGGCUGGCAGCUGGCAGCCUCCCGGUUCCAGGGAACACUAUACCUGAGUGAAGUGGAGACACCGAACGCUCGGGCCCAGAGGCUUGCUCGGCCACCGCUCCUCCGGGAGCUUAUGUACAUGGGAUACAAAUUUGAGCAGUACAUGUGUGCAGGUGAGUUGCCCCUG
Molecule: small RNA, 737 nt
Filed under: Pan troglodytes (chimpanzee)
Lineage: Eukaryota; Metazoa; Chordata; Mammalia; Primates; Hominidae
Description: retained intron
Source: RNAcentral